GAAAAAAAAGGAAAUUUCCAAAACACUUUGUUUGAGAAUUGAAAGAAAAACCCUAGUCCCUCAUUUCCCCCCAAUUCCCAGCCCAGCCGUCUCUUGUGAAGUGUUUCUCGUGUUUCUCGUUUCCCCCCAAUUCAAAACCCUAAUCCUUCAUUUCCCUCACCAAUUUCUCGCGUUUUUAGGUGAAUCGAUCGAUUUGUUGGAUAAGGAGCUUUUCUGUAUCGAGGAAUAAGAUUUUUUGAUCGAGUUUAUUCUCUUGUGAAGUGUUUCUCUUCCCUUACUCCUGCAGCGGCGGCAGUGGUGAUGGGGAUGGUUCGGCGGUGUUCAGUCUACAAUGACAUUAUCAUCACUUGCUCUUCAUUCAGUCUCACUAAAGAAGACACCUUUAAUCAACUGCUCCUUCUGAAACUGCUAUGUUUUCUGAUUAUAAGCCUUCUUUCGCUUUUCUUUUUCCUGGUCAGGCUGUUAUAACUAGUCACUACAAAACAUAUAACUGUCCCCAGUAUCUGGCAAGCCAAGAUCAUUUGCUUGGCCAAAGUAACCGUGUAUAGAUAAUAUCACAAUGCUGAAGAUUGUUGGAAGCCUGCCAAAGAAUUUCUCCACGCUCACUGGGUCUGGUGCCUGCAACACCUCAAAGAGAGAAUGCAUAAACUCUUUAACUCUUGCUGAGGUUAAGCAUCCAGAAGUUGCUUAGUUUCUAGGAGGUCAGCUACUACAUUUUUGGUGUUGUGAAGGCUGAGAAGAUUACAUUAGUGAUUAGCGCCGCCAACAUUGAAUGCGAGUCAUACUGGCCAAGCUUGUUUGCCAAGCUCCUUGAAAAGAAGAGCAUUGAGGACCUUAUCAUGAAUGUGCUUGCGGAAUCCAACUAUUCAAACAAUUGAAGAAUAAUAUGAGGAAGAAAAUAGCAUGACACUAACAAAGACUGAGGCAAUUGAAAAAUGGAAUGACACUAUUCAGACUAUUAGAUAUCUUUUUUUUUUCUCUCUUGUAGUUUCCAAUUUCUUUUUACUGUAACAAUUGUGAAUAACCAACGAGACAUGUUAGUUGAUUAAGGUGUUUAUAAAUGACAAUUAUUUUUUUUAUCUAUAUAGUAGCUUUUUAUUGAUUCAUUAAAUUGUUUUGUUUGUUUACUUUUAGUAUUAAUAUAGUAUAUAUAUGUAUUAAUUCAUAAAUCUUAAACUGUAAAUGUGUAGUUGCCCCUAAUAGUUUUAAUAAAAAUGUCAAAAGUUGCACCUAAAAACAUCCUUUAGCGACUAAC
Molecule: long non-coding RNA, 1255 nt
Organism: Beta vulgaris subsp. vulgaris (sugar beet)
Lineage: Eukaryota; Viridiplantae; Streptophyta; Magnoliopsida; Caryophyllales; Amaranthaceae
Exons: 5
Source: RefSeq, a predicted model, not a curated record